AGCAAACCCUUCACCCUGCC
RNAcentral lists this microRNA (20 nucleotides) under Gallus gallus (chicken). RNAcentral's name for it is "gga-miR-1555-5p". The record is from miRBase by way of RNAcentral. Lineage: Eukaryota; Metazoa; Chordata; Aves; Galliformes; Phasianidae.